Long non-coding RNA from Pogonomyrmex barbatus (red harvester ant), 984 nucleotides. RefSeq lists it as uncharacterized. Lineage: Eukaryota; Metazoa; Arthropoda; Insecta; Hymenoptera; Formicidae. The record is from RefSeq and is a predicted model, not a curated record.
ACUUGACUCGUUGCCGCUUUGGCGUACACUUGGUGUACACUUGGUGAACCGAUCGACGUUUCGCACACUGCAUUUGUUUCUCUUUUUCUCUCUAUCUCUCUUUCGCUUCGCUUCAUAUUACAUGUAUAUUUCUUGUUGCAUAUUUCUCGGAUUUCUUUUCCAAGUAAAACGACUUUAUUUUUUUCUUUCCAUUUGGUAUCACUCUUCCCUUUUCUUUAUAUUUCGUUUUAGAACAUGUUUUCUUAACCGGGCGCGCCGCGGCACGCCGGGAGUGCCGUGAAAUUUCGUUUUUCUGAAAAAUCAUUGUUAAUGCAGUUCUUUUUUUCUAUUAUCGACCUUUUUGUAUUCCUCAUUUAGCAUCUCAACCAUAAGACAGUGCAACUGCCGCAUUUUUUUCUAUUAAGUGGUUAGCCUUUUAUCCACUUCCACCAAAAUCAGUAAGACACGUUUUGCGGCACGGAGUGCCGCGCGCGCCUCGGAACGGGAAUAGAGAGAGAUAUCCCCGUAGAGAGGCUCACAGUCGCCCUUUUCGCAUCGCAUCGCAUCGUAUCGCAUUCGCCACGAGUGAUAGUUAUGCGACGUGUGUUAUGGCGGUCUGCCUACCCACGCGAAUUGGGUCAUCGGAUGUUACGAGGAACAUCUCGCCCGAUGAAACGCGUUGCGGACGUCGUCGUGUCAUCGCGAGACGCCCGCUUAUUUAUGAUGAGAUUGUGGAAACGCUAAGAAUUCACUGUCGGACAUGGACAGCCUUCCAAUGAGGAAGUCAUAGGCCAAGCUGACAAUCUUCUCGACAAUACUCGUAUUACCAUAAAGAAAGAAACUCAACGAUGAUGGCCGCGGCUGCGGCGGCUGCGGUGAUAGCGUAGUUUUGCAUUUACAAUUAUUAUAACAGCAAGCCCAUUACCGUGAUGAUCGUGCUCGUGGCUCUGCCGGGGCUCUUCUCUUUGUCAUCGCUUCCUCCUUUCUUCGCACUUUCUUUUCAAA